RNAcentral lists this ribosomal RNA (573 nucleotides) under uncultured bacterium. RNAcentral describes it as "partial 16S ribosomal RNA". It matches the Rfam family "Bacterial small subunit ribosomal RNA", at positions 355 to 920 of the family's 1533-position model. The record is from RNAcentral.
UGGGGAAUAUUGCACAAUGGGCGCAAGCCUGAUGCAGCCAUGCCGCGUGUGUGAAGAAGGCCUUCGGGUUGUAAAGCACUUUCAGCGAGGAGGAAGGUGGUGAACUUAAUACGUCAUCAAUUGACGUUACUCGCAGAAGAAGCACCGGCUAACUCCGUGCCAGCAGCCGCGGUAAUACGGGGGGUGCAAGCGUUAAUCGGAAUUACUGGGCGUAAAGCGCACGCAGGCGGUUUGUUAAGUCAGAUGUGAAAUCCCCGGGCUCAACCUGGGAACUGCAUUUGAAACUGGCAAGCUAGAGUCUCGUAGAGGGGGGUAGAAUUCCAGGUGUAGCGGUGAAAUGCGUAGAGAUCUGGAGGAAUACCGGUGGCGAAGGCGGCCCCCUGGACGAAGACUGACGCUCAGGUGCGAAAGCGUGGGGAGCAAACAGGAUUAGAUACCCUGGUAGUCCACGCUGUAAACGAUGUCGAUUUUGGAGGUUGUGCCCUUGAGGCGUGGCUUCCGGAGCUAACGCGUUAAAUCGACCGCCUGGGGAGUACGGCCGCAAGGUUAAAACUUAAAGGAAUUGACGGGGUC